GUGGUCCUUGCCCUCCAGACAAGGGAGCAAAGGCUCAGAGGUUUACGCUACCGGUUCCAGACCACACUGCUGUGAGUGGCAAGGUGGGGCUUCGAAUCCAGCCCUAUCGGCUGCCAAAGCCGCAUUGCUCAUCCACCAAGCCACACUUCCUCUCAGCCCUGCCUGUUCAUUAAGGCUCUUCUCGGAAGCUCCAGAUGCUUCUCCCCUACAGACCUGGCCCAGAUAGGCAGGCCUUUGCCAGCCUGGCCAUGCCUGGCUUGGGCGAAUGUCGACUCGUGUCGUCCUGUGAGCACGCCAUCCCAGGGCACUAUGGUGGAUGCCUCUGUAGCACAAAGAGACUGGGCCAGGGUCCUUGAGGGCUCGGGCUGGAGCGGGGGCCCUCACAUUCCUGCUGCCUGCCAGCACUGUCUCCAAAUGCCUGUCAGGUUGUAAAGGCGAAGAGUUGUGCAUAACAGCUGCAGAAAUCAAGCUGGCUCAGAAGAGCUCAGCCUGCAGAGAGAAGAAAAUGAUUUCAGCAAGAAACAAGCUGCAAAUAACUCAUAAUGACCAGAGUGGGGCCCUGCCGGCUUUGCUCUGGGUUUGGUGAAAUGUCUUAAGAUAUUUUUCCAAAGCCCUGGAUUUGGCCAAAUUGGAAACGUCCUUCGGCAAAUGCUUUCUUUGCCUUAAUUCUUAAAGUCAAGACUAUUUGGAAGGCGAUCUCCUUUGCUGUUUCAGAUUCGUUUACUCUUGACACAUCACAAGGGGCCUGCUGGGCGAGAGCUGUUUAUAGGAGCAGAUUUUAGGAAUCAGAGGCUAAAGCAAGAAAG
Molecule: long non-coding RNA, 806 nt
Filed under: Homo sapiens (human)
Lineage: Eukaryota; Metazoa; Chordata; Mammalia; Primates; Hominidae
Description: HSALNT0003434
Source: RNAcentral